UACGUAGGGUGCGAGCGUUGUCCGGAAUUAUUGGGCGUAAAGGGCUCGUAGGCGGUUUGUCGCGUCGGGAGUGAAAUCCACUGGCUUAACUGGUGGCUUGCUUUCGAUACGGGCAGACUGGAGGUAUGCAGGGGAGAACGGAAUUCCUGGUGUAGCGGUGAAAUGCACAGAUAUCAGGAGGAACACCGGUGGCGAAGGCGGUACUCUGGGCAUGUCCUGACGCUGAGGAGCGAAAGUGUGGGGAGCGAACAGG
RNAcentral lists this ribosomal RNA (253 nucleotides) under uncultured bacterium. RNAcentral describes it as "partial 16S ribosomal RNA". It matches the Rfam family "Bacterial small subunit ribosomal RNA", at positions 524 to 776 of the family's 1533-position model. The record is from RNAcentral.